AUUCCAGCUCCAAUAGCGUAUAUUAAAGUUGUUGCGGUUAAAAAGCUCGUAGUUGGAUUUCUGCUGAGGACGACUGGUCCGCCCCCUGGGUGAGCAUCUGGUUCGGCCUGGGCAUCUUCUUGGGGAACGUAUCUGCACUUGAUUGUGUGGUGCGGUAUCCAGGACUUUUACUUUGAGGAAAUUAGAGUGUUUCAAGCAGGCCCGCGCCUUGAAUACAUUAGCAUGGAAUAAUAAGGUAGGACCUCGGUUCUAUUUUGUUGGUUUCUAGAGCUGAGGUAAUGAUUAACAGGGACAGUCAGGGGCACUCGUAUUCCGCCGAGAGAGGUGAAAUUCUCAGACCAGCGGAAGACGAACCACUGCGAAAGCAUUUGCCAGGGAUGUUUUCAUUA
This 389-nucleotide ribosomal RNA is filed under the name Dinophyceae sp. RNAcentral's name for it is "partial small subunit ribosomal RNA". It matches the Rfam family "Eukaryotic small subunit ribosomal RNA", at positions 582 to 975 of the family's 1831-position model. The record is from RNAcentral. Lineage: Eukaryota; Dinophyceae.